UCCCUGGAGGACCAGUGGUUAGGCCACAGCGCUCUCAGUGCCAUUGCCCUGGUUCGAUUCCUGGUGGGGAA
This is a non-coding RNA of Pangasianodon gigas (Mekong giant catfish), 71 nucleotides long. The record is from the annotation of a GenBank genome assembly. NCBI's taxonomy places the organism in Eukaryota, Metazoa, Chordata, Actinopteri, Siluriformes, Pangasiidae.